CUUGUUUUUACAGAUGACAACACCAAUAUCAAUUGAAGAUGUUCGUAGAGAGGUCAAAAUCCUCAAAGCCUUGUCCAACCAUAAUAAUCUUGUCAAAUUUUAUGAUGCAUGUGAGGAUGCACUUAACGUCUACGUAGUCAUGGAAUUAUGUGAAGGUGGAGAAUUAUUAGAAAGAAUUUUAUCCAGAGGUGGAAGGUACUCAAAAAAGG
This is a long non-coding RNA of Zingiber officinale, 209 nucleotides long. RefSeq lists it as uncharacterized. The record is from RefSeq and is a predicted model, not a curated record. Lineage: Eukaryota; Viridiplantae; Streptophyta; Magnoliopsida; Zingiberales; Zingiberaceae. The transcript is spliced from 3 exons.